UACGUAGGUGGCGAGCGUUGUCCGGAAUUACUGGGCGUAAAGGGCGUGCAGGCGGUUUUUUAAGUCAGAUGUGAAACCCUGAGGCUUAACUUCGGGAUUGCAUUUGAAACUGAAGGGCUUGAGUGCAGGAGAGGUAAGUGGAAUUCCUAGUGUAGCGGUGAAAUGCGUAGAUAUUAGGAGGAACACCGGUGGCGAAGGCGACUUACUGGACUGUAACUGACGCUGAGGCGCGAAAGCGUGGGGAGCAAACAGG
This 253-nucleotide ribosomal RNA is filed under the name uncultured prokaryote. RNAcentral's name for it is "partial 16S ribosomal RNA". It matches the Rfam family "Bacterial small subunit ribosomal RNA", at positions 524 to 776 of the family's 1533-position model. The record is from RNAcentral.